This 498-nucleotide ribosomal RNA is filed under the name uncultured bacterium. Its description in RNAcentral is "partial 16S ribosomal RNA". It matches the Rfam family "Bacterial small subunit ribosomal RNA", at positions 30 to 523 of the family's 1533-position model. The record is from RNAcentral.
AUUGAACGCUGGCGGCAUGCCUUACACGUGCAAGUCGAAUGGUAACAGGUCUUCGGAUGCUGACGAGUGGCGAACGGGUGAGUAAUACAUCGGAACGUGCCUAGUAGUGGGGGAUAACUACUCGAAAGAGUGGCUAAUACCGCAUGAGAUCUACGGAUGAAAGCAGGGGAUCGCAAGACCUUGUGCUACUAGAGCGGCCGAUGGCAGAUUAGGUAGUUGGUGGGAUAAAAGCUUACCAAGCCGACGGUCUGUAGCUGGUCUGAGAGGACGAACAGGCAAACUUGGACUGAGAAACGGCCCAGAAUCCUACGGGAGGCAGCAGUGGGGAAUUUUGGACGAUGUGCGCAAGCCUGAUCCAGAAAUGCCGCGUGCAGGAUGAAGGCCUUCGGGUUGUAAACUGCUUUUGUACGGAACGAAAAGCCCCGGGUUAAUACCCUGGGGUCAUGACGGUACCGUAAGAAUAAGCACCGGCUAACUACGUGCCAGCCGCCGCCGUAA